Molecule: transfer RNA, 74 nt
Filed under: Kappaphycus alvarezii
Lineage: Eukaryota; Rhodophyta; Florideophyceae; Gigartinales; Solieriaceae
Description: tRNA-Gly
Rfam family: tRNA
About the family: Transfer RNA (tRNA) molecules are approximately 80 nucleotides in length. Their secondary structure includes four short double-helical elements and three loops (D, anti-codon, and T loops). Further hydrogen bonds mediate the characteristic L-shaped molecular structure. tRNAs have two regions of fundamental functional importance: the anti-codon, which is responsible for specific mRNA codon recognition, and the 3' end, to which the tRNAs corresponding amino acid is attached (by aminoacyl-tRNA synthetases). tRNAs cope with the degeneracy of the genetic code in two manners: having more than one tRNA (with a specific anti-codon) for a particular amino acid; and 'wobble' base-pairing, i.e. permitting non-standard base-pairing at the 3rd anti-codon position.
Source: RNAcentral
GCGAGUAUGGAAGAAUUGGUAAAUUCAAUAGUUUUCCAAACUAUAUUUUACGGGUUCGAAUCCCGUUAUUCGCU